GACGAACGCUGGCGGCGUGCCUAAUACAUGCAAGUAGAACGCUGAAGAGAGGAGCUUGCUCUUCUUGGAUGAGUUGCGAACGGGUGAGUAACGCGUAGGUAACCUGCCUUGUAGCGGGGGAUAACUAUUUGAAACGAUAGCUAAUACCGCAUAACAAUGGAUGACACAUGUCAUUUAUUUUAAAGGGGCAAUUGCUCCACUACAAGAUGGACCUGCGUUGUAUUAGCUAGUAGGUGAGGUAAUGGCUCACCUAGGCGACGAUACAUAGCCGACCUGAGUGGGUGAUCGGCCACACUGGGACUGAGACACGGCCCAGACUCCUACGGGAGGCAGCAGUAGGGAAUCUUCGGCAAUGGGGGCAACCCUGACCGAGCAACGCCGCGUGAGUGAAGAAGGUUUUCGGAUCGUAAAGCUCUGUUGUAAGUCAAGAACGGGUGUGAGAGUAGAAAGUUCACACUGUGACGGUAGCUUACCAGAAAGGGACGGCUAACUACGUG
Molecule: ribosomal RNA, 497 nt
Filed under: uncultured bacterium
Lineage: Bacteria
Description: partial 16S ribosomal RNA
Rfam family: Bacterial small subunit ribosomal RNA
Source: RNAcentral